Molecule: long non-coding RNA, 2549 nt
Organism: Fukomys damarensis (Damara mole-rat)
Lineage: Eukaryota; Metazoa; Chordata; Mammalia; Rodentia; Bathyergidae
Source: Ensembl
CCCGUGUAUCUGACCACAAGCCAACCCAUUCCUUCUCCAAAUGUACUAAUUCCUCCUUGGGAGGAUGAAAAUUGCAAGAGCCCAAGUGUGAUGCUCGAGGAUGAGUUGUCAUGGAAACACAGCAAGCAUAUGUGUACUUCAUUCAGUCUGGUCCUCUCUUUUCAACUAGACACUUCUACAGAGGAAGAGAACAGCUCAUCUUCCUCAUUUCUGACAGAAGAAGACAGAGAACUGGGGAGAAGUAAGGCUUGGAGUCAAUUUCAUGUUAACUAUAUUCUCCUCCUGUUUUUUCUCUUUUCUCCCAUUUUCUCUAUUUCCUCCUCUUUCUUCUUACUUCAUCCUGAUCAUCCCUAGCAGUGAUACACUAACCUCUUUUUCACAUUCCGGAGAGUUGACAAACCAGUUCCCCAACUGCCACCUUCACUGCCACAAUCAUCACUAACCCCAAGGGACAGGACAAACUUAUGGACUGGAAAGACAGGCUGUACUUUUUUACAAAGACAAGGAGGGCAGCCUCUGAAAGAGAGACAUCAAUCUCAGCUGCUCCUAAAAGUAACAUCUCAUUCAGCAUUUCUGAGGAUAUCAUUUCUGGCAUUUGUAUGGAGUGCAGCAGUUGAUGUCACCCUGACUUUACUGGAAAAACAUUUCAUCAUCUUUGUCUCACCAGUGCCCAACAGAGCACCAGGCCACAAUGAGUAUUUAUGGCAUUGUCUGCUCAACCCUGCCCAAUUACUUUGCAAACUGUGUCUCUCCUUCCCAGCGCUGCUUGAUGAGGAUAAGACUCGUUUCAAGUUGUGCCAGGUGUCUUCUCUUCGAUUGUUUGGGUUUGGGAUCACAAGUGGCCAAAAGCUAGAGGACAUAAAGCUUAGAAGGUGCCCAUAGUCAGGUUUUCCACAUUGGAAAUAGGAGAAAGAAAAAGACAACACACAGAGACCACAAAAGGAAAAGAUGGAGAUAGAAUCUUCACCACAUUUGGUCCCUGGCUGCGGUAGUCCUUAGGGUAUGCUGUGCUUCUGCCCUUCUUGUGGAUUAGCUACACUGGGAGAAAACCAGCACCCUUCAAGCUUGUGUCCAAGUUUUUCAUAAGGUAUGAAAUGUGUGUCUGCCGUUUACAACUAAAAGGAUUCUGACUACUCCCGGGCCUUUAGCAGGUAUGUCGUAAACAGUUGCUGAAUGACUAUUGGGAGGCUUCUUAGUGUCUUAGAGGUGAGUGUAGUAAGACCAGCGGAUGUUGGAAAGGAUACGUGGUUUAUCCCUCAUUCCCAAGAGGCACACCUGCCAAAGAGAAAGUACUCCUGUCUUGAAAGACCCCUGAAAGAUAACCUCCCUUGGUUAUUUAACAAAGGAGAUGAGAAGAACAUGGAAAACCAUGACGUCUCGAAUCUCUCCUCCUUCCUUAAAAGUCCUCUUGUCUUUUGUUCUUAGUCUUGAUGAUUUUCCAGCUUUCAUUCAAAAAACGUUAUUUUACAUCUCUAGCUCUCAUCUCUUUCUGUAUUUCAUCUAAUCUAAAAUCUAUUUCUAUUCCCACUGUUCACCUUAAUGUCAUAUACGUCACUGUUCUCAGUGAUACGCCGUAUCACCUCCCAGAGACCCAAAGACGCUCAUCAUAAAAGGUUAUGUGAGGCGCAUUCUUCCGUCGAGCAGUAAUUUACUGCAGGUCUUGUACCUGGUGGGCACUAUGCUAAAAGCUAUGGCACUAAAGCAGGACAGCUGACUGCCCAGAGAAAAUGUAAUCUAAACCCAACAUAAUGAAAUUUCUCUUAUCUGAAACUGGAAUAAUUAAGGCUAUUGUCUUUAUUUUCUUCAUCCACUCACGGUCUGGUUACCUAAACAACAAAUAUUUUUGGGUUUCUGUUUUGGGUCACGUAUUGUUACGGUUCUGGGUUUAUAGAGCUAAACAAGUUCCCUGUUUUCUAAUGAGGAAGACAGAAAGAAGCAAGUUAACAAUUCACUAAUAGUUUCAGGCAGUUUCAGACAGUGGUAACAGCUCUGACUAAAAGAAGCAGGAUAAGGAUUAAGCGUCUUAAUGUGGGUAGGCAAUUAUAAGUGACGUAAGCAAGGUGACUGCUUUGAGGAGAUGUAAGUAGAUGCCUGAGUUCCCCACAAGGAUAAACCACCCUGAGAUCUAGUGGGAUAGCAGUCCUGCUGGGUUGCCUGAGGAAUUUGACUACUUGGUUUCUGGGCUCUAUCUAGAUAGAAAACCUAUCAUUUUAAUAGUCCCACCUAGUUCUUGUUCCAUAAUAGUUCUAUGUUCCCUUUCAAAGUUUUUGCCAGCAUUUACCAGUAAUUUUAACAGUACAGCCUCUGUCAAUACUUAAAAGGCUGGUGGCUGUAGGAGCCUAUACCCCUAUCUACAGAUGCCGUCAUGGUACUUAAUGAAAGCUACCAUCGAGGAAGAAUAAGCCUGAGAUGCUGCAUGGAAAAUGUCUGAUCUUUCAGGAAAAAAGAAAUAGCUUUGGGUGCUCUAAAUGAGCGCACUCAUGUUGUCAUUAAUCGGUUCUCGUAAAAGCCUCCAUUUCUCCAACUAAAGCUUUGGAGUGGUUGCAACC